AAGAGGAGUGGCGAACGGGUGAGUAACACGUGGGUAACCUGCCCAUCAGAAGGGGAUAACACUUGGAAACAGGUGCUAAUACCGUAUAACAAUCGAAACCGCAUGGUUUUGAUUUGAAAGGCGCUUUCGGGUGUCGCUGAUGGAUGGACCCGCGGUGCAUUAGCUAGUUGGUGAGGUAACGGCUCACCAAGGCGACGAUGCAUAGCCGACCUGAGAGGGUGAUCGGCCACAUUGGGACUGAGACACGGCCCAAACUCCUACGGGAGGCAGCAGUAGGGAAUCUUCGGCAAUGGACGAAAGUCUGACCGAGCAACGCCGCGUGAGUGAAGAAGGUUUUCGGAUCGUAAAACUCUGUUGUUAGAGAAGAACAAGGAUGAGAGUAACUGUUCAUCCCUUGACGGUAUCUAACCAGAAAGCCACGGCUAACUACGUGCCAGCAGCCGCGGUAAUACGUAGGUGGCAAGCGUUGUCCGGAUUUAUUGGGCGUAAAGCGAGCGCAGGCGGUUUCUUAAGUCUGAUGUGAAAGCCCCCGGCUCAACCGGGGAGGGUCAUUGGAAACUGGGAGACUUGAGUGCAGAAGAGGAGAGUGGAAUUCCAUGUGUAGCGGUGAAAUGCGUAGAUAUAUGGAGGAACACCAGUGGCGAAGGCGGCUCUCUGGUCUGUAACUGACGCUGAGGCUCGAAAGCGUGGGGAGCAAACAGGAUUAGAUACCCUGGUAGUCCACGCCGUAAACGAUGAGUGCUAAGUGUUGGAGGGUUUCCGCCCUUCAGUGCUGCAGCUAACGCAUUAAGCACUCCGCCUGGGGAGUACGACCGCAAGGUUGAAACUCAAAGGAAUUGACGGGGGCCCGCACAAGCGGUGGAGCAUGUGGUUUAAUUCGAAGCAACGCGAAGAACCUUACCAGGUCUUGACAUCCUUUGACCACUCUAGAGAUAGAGCUUCCCCUUCGGGGGCAAAGUGACAGGUGGUGCAUGGUUGUCGUCAGCUCGUGUCGUGAGAUGUUGGGUUAAGUCCCGCAACGAGCGCAACCCUUAUUGUUAGUUGCCAUCAUUUAGUUGGGCACUCUAGCAAGACUGCCGGUGACAAACCGGAGGAAG
This 1097-nucleotide ribosomal RNA is filed under the name Enterococcus hirae. RNAcentral's name for it is "bacterial SSU rRNA". It matches the Rfam family "Bacterial small subunit ribosomal RNA", at positions 88 to 1172 of the family's 1533-position model. Lineage: Bacteria; Bacillati; Bacillota; Bacilli; Lactobacillales; Enterococcaceae. The record is from RNAcentral.